RNAcentral lists this long non-coding RNA (3179 nucleotides) under Coffea arabica (coffee). RNAcentral's name for it is "long non-coding RNA (CARA_LNC003823)". The record is from RNAcentral. Lineage: Eukaryota; Viridiplantae; Streptophyta; Magnoliopsida; Gentianales; Rubiaceae.
ACUCACCCAAUUAAGAACUAUUUUAUACAAAUGAGGCAACCUUCACCAAGGUUUUACCACUCCAAGUGAUAGGUUCACCUUCACCAAGGUUUUCACUUGAGCAACCUCACAACCCAACUUUCCCAACCCCUUAUACAACCAACAAAGAAUCUUUCUACUCAAAAAUCUCACUUGUAAGCUUAUAUUUUGUGUUGGCAAAAGUCUCUAGUCUUCUUGUGCUUUGGGGUUUUUAUAGAAGGUGAGAAAUGGCUCCAAAAGACUCUCCAACGGUCAAAUAUUAAUUGCUGUCAAAACUAGCCGUUGGCCUGUCGGACGUCCGACAGGUGCCUGUCGGACGUCCGAACCACCUGUCGGACGUCCGAACCCUGCGUCCGAACGUAGGCAGAGAGUCAUCAAAUCUUUGCGAAAUUUCUCGGACGUCCGAUGCGAUCGAUGUGCGUCCGAGGCGUGCGUCCGAUCCUUCCGGACGUCCGAUGCUUCCUCACGAGCGUCCGACAGAGUUUCCUUCUUGAUGUUCUUCAUCCUUUCGGACGUCCGAUAGCGUCCGACAUGAGUGCCCUGUUUUUGCUUCUUCUUUUAUGCCACAAGAAUCUGUUCUAACAAAUUACUCACAUAAAAACAUUAGCCCAAAUCUACAUUUUGGUUUGUUAAUCAUCAAAACCAAGGAUUGAUCGACCAAGGUCAACAAUCUCCCCCUUUUUGAUGAUGACAAACAAAAUGAAGAUUUCUUUUAUCAAAUAAGUUCAAAUAAAACUCCCCCUUAGAAAGUGCCAACAUACAAAGAAAUUUCAAUAAAAGCUCCCCCUUAGAAAGUGCCAACAUACAAAGAAAUUUCAAUAAAUCCUACUCCCCCUUUUGGCAUCAAUCAAAAACAAACUCCCCCUUUAUUUUUCAAAUCAAGACCAUAUUGAAUAUCAAAAUUUUCAAUUGUACUUACAACCAUAUAGCACUUUUUGGAUCAAAUCAUCAUGAUGUGCCUAAAUAUGAGAAAUUUCAUUUGGUACCAUUUCUUUAUAGGGUCCUUGGGAGUUAAUACGACAUGAUCUAGCAAUCCACAUGGAUUUCAUGCCUUUUCUCAUAUUUUUCUUUACAUAACAAUCAUUUUGCAUAUGUCCAAAUUUGCAACAAAAGUGACACAUGAUAGAAGUAUUUUGCACAUAGGUGGAUUUAAUGCAACUAAUUUGCUUACUUCUUAUUAUAACAAACUUAUUUGUGCCUUGAAAAGAUUUGCUUUUUUUUGUUUGAGAAAACUUUUGUUUUUCAUUUUGGAGAAACUCGUUCAAGUCAUUAAUUCUUUUCUUUAACAAAUUUUGUUCCUCCAACAUUUUUUCAUAAAACUUUGUUGUCUCUUCCAACUUCCUUUUCAAAAUAUUUUUUUGAUUUUUUAAAUCAUCAUUUCCCAUUCUCAAACAUUUGUUUUCUUGAAAAAGUUUGGAGUUUUCUUCCAACAAAUCAUUUAUUUUUGUUUUCAAAUCUUUAUUUUUAGCAUAAGAUUUUCUCAAACUUUUAUGCAUUUUAAUCAUAAGAAUUUUCACAUCAUCAUUUUCAUUAUCUUUAUCACAAGAAGAGUGAUAAGAACUUACCUCAUCUUCUCCAACGGCCAUUAGUGCUAUUUGGGCCAACUCUUCUUUUUCUCUUUUUGAAUUGCAUUCAUCCCAUGUAACUUUGCAAUCUCCUCUUGAACAUCUCUUGUUGAAGAUCUUCUUGAAACUUUUGAUGUGAGGAGUUAUAUCAUUGUCCACUUCCAUGAUUUCAUUACCCAUGAAGGAUGGGUUAUCCCCCACUUGAGAUGCUUUAAAAGCUAUGCCUCUCAUAUACAUUCUUGCAUUUUCUUCCUCUUGCACUUUGAGUUUCAGUUUUAAUUCAUAAGAGGUUAGGGAAUUCACAAGAGAUUCAAUGGACAUAGAAUUUAAAUCCUUUGCCUCUUCUAUAGCAUUUAUUUUGUUUUCCCAUUCUUUUGGCAAGGCAUUCAAAAUCUUUCUAUUUUUCUCACCCAAACAAUAUUCUUUUCCAAGCAAUUUAAGAUCUUCAAUAAUGUCACAAAAUCUACUACACAUCUUAUCAACAUUUUCAAGAGGAUGCAUUUUGAAAAAUUCAUAUUGAGAAACAAGCAAAGAUUUCUUUUGUUCUUUAAACUCUUGGUUACCUUCAUGAAAUACACACAAUUUAUCCCAAAUAUCUUUAGCAGAUUUACAACCUUUAAUCCUACUAGAUUCAUUUACAUCUAAUGUAUUGUACAAUAUACACAUGGCCUUGGCAUUCAAAGAAAGGUAUCUCUUGUUUUUUUCAUUCAAUUCUUGUCUAGUCUUUAAUCUACUCAAAUUGGUGGUGGAGUCAACUAUUCUAGCUUCAUAAGGACCAUCUUCUACCACAUACCAUAAUUCAAUAUAAACGGAUUGUAAGAAAAUCAUCAUUCUUUGUUUCCACAUGCUAAAAUGAGAACCAUUAAACAUAGGUGGUCUAUCAAUAGAUUGCCCUUCUAAAAAAGAAACUUUUAUGGUUGCCAUGAUCUUUACUCUAAGCGGUUAAGCUUGAUCAAAAGAGACCAAGCGCUGAUACCAAUUGUAAGUGCCCGGUGCAACCCAAUGAGUACAAACAAUAUCACAAUGAUGCACAAAGAUAUAUCAAAUUUAAGCACCAUAAAGAAAACUUAAUUAAAGAGAAAAGAUAAGAAAUGCAAAUCAAAUAUGAAUCCAAUAGCUUCUUCAAUAAAUGGCGAUGCUAACCAAGAUGUACAAGUGAAGGCUCACUCCUUCCUCACCCCAAACACACUUUGGUUGAGCCAAGGAGUUUUACAACAAUUCUAGUUAACCCUCAACAACCUACACUUGAAAGAUCACUCACCCAAUUAAGAACUAUUUUAUACAAAUGAGGCAACCUUCACCAAGGUUUUACCACUUCAAGUGAUAGGUUCACCUUCACCAAGGUUUUGCUCCUCCUAGAGAGUAACCUUCACUUGAGCAACCUCACAACCCAACUUCCCCAACCCCUUAUACAACCAACAAAGAAUCUUUCUACUCAAAAAUCUCACUUGUAAGCUUGUAUUUUGUGUUGGCAAAAGUCUCUUGUCUUCUUGUGCUUUGGGGUUUUUAUAGAAGGUGAGAAAUGGCUCCAAAAGGCUCUCCAACGGUCAAAUAUUAAAUGCUGUCAAAACUAGCCGUUGGCCUGUCGGACGUCCG